Molecule: ribosomal RNA, 230 nt
Filed under: uncultured bacterium
Lineage: Bacteria
Description: partial 16S ribosomal RNA
Rfam family: Bacterial small subunit ribosomal RNA
Source: RNAcentral
AAAGGGUCCGCAGGCGGAUUUAUAAGUCAGUGGUGAAAUCCUAUCGCUUAACGAUAGAACUGCCAUUGAUACUGUAAGUCUUGAAUUCGGUCGGAGUGGGCGGAAUGUGUAGUGUAGCGGUGAAAUGCAUAGAUAUUACACAGAACACCGAUAGCGAAGGCAGCUCACUAGGCCUGAAUUGACGCUCAGGGACGAAAGCGUGGGGAUCAAACAGGAUUAGAUACCCUUGU